Molecule: ribosomal RNA, 774 nt
Filed under: uncultured Neocallimastigales
Lineage: Eukaryota; Fungi; Neocallimastigomycota; Neocallimastigomycetes; Neocallimastigales
Description: partial large subunit ribosomal RNA
Rfam family: Eukaryotic large subunit ribosomal RNA
Source: RNAcentral
UACGACUACAUAUCAGGCAUAUCAAUAAGCGGAGGAAAAGAAACUAACUAGGAUUCCCUCAGUAACGGCGAGUGAAGCGGGAAGAGCUCAAAUUUGAAAUCUUCAAGGUUCUACCUUGACGAAUUGUAGUUUAAAGAAGUGUUUUCUGUUGGAGUUUUGGUAAAAGUUCUUUGGAAUAGGACAUCAUAGAGGGUGAGAAUCCCGUAUUUGACCAUUAUUUCAGCUGUGUGAUACACUUUCAAAGAGUCGGAUUGUUUGGGAAUGCAGUCCAAAAUGGGUGGUAAAUUUCAUCUAAAGCUAAAUAUUGGCGAGAGACCGAUAGCGAACAAGUACCGUGAGGGAAAGAUGAAAAGAACUUUGAAAAGAGAGUUAAACAGUACGUGAAAUUGUCAAAAGGGAAGCGUUUGACACCAGUGUUGUUUUCUCGAAAAUCAAUUAAAAAUAGUUGGAUUUUGUGUUGUAUUGACCUUAACAGCUUGCUUCACUCUUUUCCAGCUUUUUUUAAUGCACUUUUCGUUUAACAAGUCAACAUCAGUUUCUUUUGUUGUAAAAGGGUCAUUGGAAGGUGGCUUUCUCUUCGGAGAAAGUGUUUAUAGCCUUUGAUCUCUGCAAUCGGAGAGACUGAGGUCUGCAGCGUAGAUCCUUCGGGGUUAGAUACAUUUGUGCUAAGCUACUAGCUUUUCAUAGACAACUUGUUGACUAUGUUUAGUCUUGUAACUUACCCGCUUAUGCUAUUUUACCUACGCUUAGGAUGUUGAGCGCAUGUCUCUCUCU